AGGAGAGUUUGAUCCUGGCUCAGGAUGAACGCUGGCGGCGUGCCUAACACAUGCAAGUCGAACGGAGAUAUUUCGCCGAAGCUGAAGGAAGCUUGCUUUUGGAAGAUUCAUUGAAGUAUCUUAGUGGCGGACGGGUGAGUAACGCGUGAGGAACCUGCCUUUCAGAGGGGGAUAACGUUUUGAAAAGAACGCUAAUACCGCAUAACAUAUUCUUAUGGCAUCGUAGGGAUAUCAAAGGAGCAAUCCGCUGAAAGAUGGCCUCGCGUCCGAUUAGCCAGUUGGCGGGGUAACGGCCCACCAAAGCGACGAUCGGUAGCCGGACUGAGAGGUUGAACGGCCACAUUGGGACUGAGACACGGCCCAGACUCCUACGGGAGGCAGCAGUGGGGAAUAUUGCACAAUGGGCGAAAGCCUGAUGCAGCAACGCCGCGUGAGGGAAGAAGGUUUUCGGAUUGUAAACCUCUGUCCCCUGUGACGAAGACAGUGACGGUAGCAGGGGAGGAAGCCACGGCUAACUACGUGCCAGCAGCCGCGGUAAUACGUAGGUGGCAAGCGUUAUCCGGAUUUACUGGGUGUAAAGGGAGCGCAGGCGGGAGAGCAAGUCAGCGGUGAAAUACAUGGGCUUAACCCAUGAACUGCCGUUGAAACUGUUUUUCUUGAGUGAAGUAGAGGCAGGCGGAAUUCCGAGUGUAGCGGUGAAAUGCGUAGAUAUUCGGAGGAACACCAGUGGCGAAGGCGGCCUGCUGGGCUUUUACUGACGCUGAGGCUCGAAAGUGUGGGGAGCAAACAGGAUUAGAUACCCUGGUAGUCCCCU
This 814-nucleotide ribosomal RNA is filed under the name uncultured Bacillota bacterium. RNAcentral describes it as "bacterial SSU rRNA". It matches the Rfam family "Bacterial small subunit ribosomal RNA", at positions 1 to 799 of the family's 1533-position model. The record is from RNAcentral. Lineage: Bacteria; Bacillati; Bacillota.